UACAGAGGUCCCAAGCGUUGUUCGGAUUCACUGGGCGUAAAGGGUGCGUAGGUGGCGAGGUAAGUUUGAUGUGAAAGCUCCGGGCUCAACCCGGAAAUGGCAUUGAAUACUCUCUCGCUAGAGGAUUGGAGGGGAGUCUGGAAUUCUCGGUGUAGCAGUGAAAUGCGUAGAUAUCGAGAGGAACACCAGUGGCGAAGGCGAGACUCUGGACAAUUCCUGACACUGAGGCACGAAGGCCGGGGGACCAACCGGGAUUAGAUCCCCCGGGGGCCCUGGCCCUAAACGGUGAACGUUUGCUGUGGGCGGAAUCGACCCCGCCUGUGGCGUAGCUAACGCGAUAAACGUGCCGCCUGGGGAGUACGGUCGCAAGAUUA
RNAcentral lists this ribosomal RNA (374 nucleotides) under uncultured prokaryote. RNAcentral describes it as "bacterial SSU rRNA". It matches the Rfam family "Bacterial small subunit ribosomal RNA", at positions 524 to 896 of the family's 1533-position model. The record is from RNAcentral.